UGCCAGCCGCCGCGGUAAUACGAAGGGUGCUAGCGUUGUUCGGAAUUACUGGGCGUAAAGAGCAUGUAGGCGGAUGAAUUAGUCAGAUGUGAAAUGCCUGAGCUCAACUGAGGCACUGCGUUUGAAACUGAUAGACUUGAGUAUUCCAGGGGUAUGCGGAACUGCCAGUGGAGCGGUGAAAUGCGUUGAUAUUGGCAGGAACACCAGUGGCGAAGGCGGCAUACUGGGGGAUAACUGACGCUGAGGCACGAAAGCCAGGGUAGCGAACGGGAUUAGAUA
RNAcentral lists this ribosomal RNA (279 nucleotides) under uncultured bacterium. Its description in RNAcentral is "partial 16S ribosomal RNA". It matches the Rfam family "Bacterial small subunit ribosomal RNA", at positions 506 to 784 of the family's 1533-position model. The record is from RNAcentral.